Molecule: transfer RNA, 72 nt
Filed under: Saccoglossus kowalevskii
Lineage: Eukaryota; Metazoa; Hemichordata; Enteropneusta; Harrimaniidae
Description: tRNA-Val
Rfam family: tRNA
About the family: Transfer RNA (tRNA) molecules are approximately 80 nucleotides in length. Their secondary structure includes four short double-helical elements and three loops (D, anti-codon, and T loops). Further hydrogen bonds mediate the characteristic L-shaped molecular structure. tRNAs have two regions of fundamental functional importance: the anti-codon, which is responsible for specific mRNA codon recognition, and the 3' end, to which the tRNAs corresponding amino acid is attached (by aminoacyl-tRNA synthetases). tRNAs cope with the degeneracy of the genetic code in two manners: having more than one tRNA (with a specific anti-codon) for a particular amino acid; and 'wobble' base-pairing, i.e. permitting non-standard base-pairing at the 3rd anti-codon position.
Source: RNAcentral
GGUUCCAUGGUGUAGUGGUUAUCACGUUGGCUUUACACGCAGAAGGCCUGAGUUCGCUCCUCAGUGAAACCA